Molecule: ribosomal RNA, 760 nt
Filed under: uncultured Halomonas sp.
Lineage: Bacteria; Pseudomonadati; Pseudomonadota; Gammaproteobacteria; Oceanospirillales; Halomonadaceae
Description: bacterial SSU rRNA
Rfam family: Bacterial small subunit ribosomal RNA
Source: RNAcentral
ACUGACACUGAGGUGCGAAAGCGUGGGUAGCAAACGGAAUGAUACCCUGGUAGUCCACGCCGUAAACGAUGUCGACCAGCCGUUGGGUGCCUAGCGCACUUUGUGGCGAAGUUAACGCGAUAAGUCGACCGCCUGGGGAGUACGGCCGCAAGGUUAAAACUCAAAUGAAUUGACGGGGGCCCGCACAAGCGGUGGAGCAUGUGGUUUAAUUCGAUGCAACGCGAAGAACCUUACCUACUCUUGACAUCCUGCGAAUUUGGUAGAGAUACCUUAGUGCCUUCGGGAACGCAGAGACAGGUGCUGCAUGGCUGUCGUCAGCUCGUGUUGUGAAAUGUUGGGUUAAGUCCCGUAACGAGCGCAACCCUUGUCCUUAUUUGCCAGCGCGUAAUGGCGGGAACUCUAAGGAGACUGCCGGUGACAAACCGGAGGAAGGUGGGGACGACGUCAAGUCAUCAUGGCCCUUACGAGUAGGGCUACACACGUGCUACAAUGGUCGGUACAAAGGGUUGCCAACUCGCGAGAGUGAGCCAAUCCCGAAAAGCCGAUCUCAGUCCGGAUCGGAGUCUGCAACUCGACUCCGUGAAGUCGGAAUCGCUAGUAAUCGUGGAUCAGAAUGCCACGGUGAAUACGUUCCCGGGCCUUGUACACACCGCCCGUCACACCAUGGGAGUGGACUGCACCAGAAGUGGUUAGCCUAACGCAAGAGGGCGAUCACCACGGUGUGGUUCAUGACUGGGGGUGAAGUCGUAACAAGGUAACC